Molecule: long non-coding RNA, 661 nt
Filed under: Pogonomyrmex barbatus (red harvester ant)
Lineage: Eukaryota; Metazoa; Arthropoda; Insecta; Hymenoptera; Formicidae
Description: uncharacterized LOC105426863, transcript variant X1
Source: RNAcentral
CAAAUAAUGACAUGAUUUUUGUAAAUGCUCUUCAUGAGAUAAAUACAGAAAUUGAAAGAAUUAUCGAAAAUACAGAAAUAGAUGGACAAUCGAUAAAUGUACAUAUUAAUGCAAGUACAGGUUUUAAUCAAAUUUGCACAGAAUCGCAAACCACAGAGUAUGAAAGAAAUCAAUGGCUUUAUUAUUGGACAGUGUAAGAUGACCAACUAUAUUGACGGUGAAUACUUCGAAUACGUUACAAACCGAUAGAACAUCAAAUUAUGACAUUUUUGACACAGACGCACGUCAUGACACAAACUAUUGUUUAACUAAUGCAGAAAUUGAACAGAAUAAGUGAAGGAAUUAUAGCAGAUAAAGGAUAUAACGAUUGAUAGAAUUUAAUGCAAAUGCAAGUCAUCAAACUGGCGAAGAAUUGCAAAGCUCAGAGUAUGAAGGAAAUCAAUGCAUGGCAUAACAUUUUACAUCAUGGAACACUUGAAAAAUCGACAAAAUAUGUAUAUGUGGCAAUAUUACACACUAGACGAGAAUUGUAAUGCAAAAUGCAUAAUUUGUAAUAGAUUGAUAAAAGCGACUCAGAAUUGGAAUUUGAAAAGUCAUAUAAUUACACAACAUCAAGAAGAAAUGACGAAAAUACAAAAAACAAUUACAGACAUUUGGUUAU